CAGAGAGUAGUUUAACUAAAAUACCAGCUUUGGGAGUUGGUGAUGAGGGUUUAAUUCCUUUCUCUUUGA
RNAcentral lists this transfer RNA (69 nucleotides) under Liocichla omeiensis. RNAcentral describes it as "tRNA-Pro". It matches the Rfam family "tRNA". Rfam says of the family: Transfer RNA (tRNA) molecules are approximately 80 nucleotides in length. Their secondary structure includes four short double-helical elements and three loops (D, anti-codon, and T loops). Further hydrogen bonds mediate the characteristic L-shaped molecular structure. tRNAs have two regions of fundamental functional importance: the anti-codon, which is responsible for specific mRNA codon recognition, and the 3' end, to which the tRNAs corresponding amino acid is attached (by aminoacyl-tRNA synthetases). tRNAs cope with the degeneracy of the genetic code in two manners: having more than one tRNA (with a specific anti-codon) for a particular amino acid; and 'wobble' base-pairing, i.e. permitting non-standard base-pairing at the 3rd anti-codon position. The record is from RNAcentral. Lineage: Eukaryota; Metazoa; Chordata; Aves; Passeriformes; Leiothrichidae.